CUAAGCAUAUCAAUAAGCGGAGGAAAAGAAACCAACAGGGAUUGCCCUAGUAACGGCGAGUGAAGCGGCAACAGCUCAAAUUUGAAAGCUGGCUUAGGCCCGCAUUGUAAUUUGCAGAGGAUGCUUCUGGCGAGGUGCCUUCCGAGUUCCCUGGAACGGGACGCCAUAGAGGGUGAGAGCCCCGUAUGGAUGGACACCAGACCUGUGUGAAGCUCCUUCAACGAGUCGAGUAGUUUGGGAAUGCUGCUCUAAAUGGGAGGUAAAUCUCUUCUAAAGCUAAAUACCGGCCAGAGACCGAUAGCGCACAAGUAGAGUGAUCGAAAGAUGAAAAGCACCUUGAAAAGGGGGUUAAACAGUACGUGAAAUUGUUGAAAGGGAAGCGCUUGUGACCAGACUUGCGCCGGGCAGCUCAUCAGGGGUUCUCCCCUGUGCACUCUGCCCGGCUCAGGCCAGCAUCGGUUCUCGUGGGAGGAUAAGAACGGUAGGAACGUGGCCCCCCUCCGGGGGGGUGUUAUAGCCUGCCGUACGAUACUCCCGUGGGGACCGAGGUUCGCGCUCCGCAAGGAUGCUGGCGUAAUGGUCAUCAGCGACCCGUCUUGAAACACGGACCAAGGAGUCGUCCAUUAGAGCGAGCGUUUGGGUGUAAAACCCGCACGCGUAAUGAAAGUGAACGCAGGUGAGAGCUUCGGCGCAUCAUCGACCGAUCCUGAUGUCUUCGGAUGGAUUUGAGUAAGAGUUUUAACGGACGGACCCGAAAGACAGUGAACUAUGCUUGUAUAGGGUGAAGCCAGAGGAAACUCUGGUGGAGGCUCGCAGCGGUUCUGACGUGCAAAUCGAUCGUCAAAUAUGAGCAUGGGGGCGAAAGACUAAUCGAA
RNAcentral lists this ribosomal RNA (875 nucleotides) under Cytospora ribis. RNAcentral describes it as "partial 28S large subunit ribosomal RNA". It matches the Rfam family "Eukaryotic large subunit ribosomal RNA", at positions 34 to 939 of the family's 3401-position model. Lineage: Eukaryota; Fungi; Ascomycota; Sordariomycetes; Diaporthales; Cytosporaceae. The record is from RNAcentral.